CCAUUUUCCUGGGUUCUUGAUAUGUAUUUUGCAUAAUUCUUUUCCUCCAUUUUGGUUUGUACUGUUUAUGGUUAUGUUUGAAUGAUCCUGUUUUUGUCUGUAUUUUUAUAAAAUGCUACUCUACAAGAACUUUAACUGGGACACAAUAUUCAGUUUGUGUUUGUGUUUUGAAUGUCAAAGAAAUGAACUGUCACUUAAGGAACGGGCUAUUCGGCACUGAAGCUGGGGACACGCCAAGCCGAUGAACGCCAGCUCGGGACAACACAGCUCCAUGCCAAGGAUGGAGCCCCCUGCCUGCAGAGAGGCAGGUGUAUGGAGCAAAGUUUGGCCUCGGGCUGACCUAAAAAUCAUGCAUGGGAGCUGGACCCAUAUCCUAUGGCUUUCAUAAUGCAGUGCUGCAUUCCUCCUCUUGGCACAGGCUCUCUGCUUAACUGCUGCUAGCGCUCACUCUCUCACAUCUCUCUCUCUCGCUGCUAUCUUUCCUCAGCCUCGCUCUGCCUCUCAUAAUGCAGAGCCAGCAGAAAGCAGGUCUCUCUGUCUCUCUCUCCUCUCUUGGCUUUACUGACACAGAGUGAGGCAGAGGGAGAAGAAAUCAGAGAGGGGGUGGAGAGAGGAGAGGAAAAAGGCAGAAUAAAGGAAGGAGGGACGCAAAAGGAGAAAGAAUCAAAGGUUUAUGGAACAGGAAAGAGGCUGCGGGUGUGCUGGGCUGUGCUACA
This is a long non-coding RNA of Sander lucioperca (pikeperch), 716 nucleotides long. RefSeq lists it as uncharacterized. NCBI's taxonomy places the organism in Eukaryota, Metazoa, Chordata, Actinopteri, Perciformes, Percidae. The record is from RefSeq and is a predicted model, not a curated record. The transcript has 3 exons.